UCCCUGGUGGUCCAGUGGCUAAGACUCUGUGCUGCCAAUAGGGAGGCACAGGUUCGAUCCCUGGUCAGGGAA
Molecule: transfer RNA, 72 nt
Filed under: Bos taurus (domestic cattle)
Lineage: Eukaryota; Metazoa; Chordata; Mammalia; Artiodactyla; Bovidae
Also listed under: 5 other names
Rfam family: tRNA
About the family: Transfer RNA (tRNA) molecules are approximately 80 nucleotides in length. Their secondary structure includes four short double-helical elements and three loops (D, anti-codon, and T loops).
Source: Rfam by way of RNAcentral